This 2589-nucleotide unclassified non-coding RNA is filed under the name Leishmania donovani. RNAcentral describes it as "gene:LdHU3.09.1740(CDS-product:SET_domain_contain ing_protein_putative)". Lineage: Eukaryota; Euglenozoa; Kinetoplastea; Trypanosomatida; Trypanosomatidae. The record is from RNAcentral.
UGCCUUCGGCAGCAGUCUUAUCACUUUACUACCAAUACAGCUCUUCAUGUGGAGCCCAGCAACGUUGUCCUCUCUCUGUGUUUCGCGCGACCCUCUGCCUCUCCUCCUCUACUCACCGCCGUUUGAUUCAGGUCGCUCGCGCGAAGCGAGCGCGCAAGCUCUGCAGGGAUCUCCUCUGCAAGCGACGCCGCCGCGUUUUUGUGCCUGCGCGGUGUGGCCCUUGUGCUGUCGCUCCCCUGCUUGGAGCGUGCAGGCGCGCUCAGCUCGCCCUCCCGUUUUCCUCUCCCCCUUCAGAGCUCAGCCACUUGCACGGAGGCGUCUGUGCGUGUCCGUCUGUAGUGCCUCUCCCUGACGCACCUCUGUGGUGUUUUGUGCGACUGUGGCGCCUCUUCGGGUGGCGUUCCGCACUCGACCCGCCGCCCUUGGAAGCGAUGCCUCCCCCCAGCACGCUGCACCGCGGCAGCGAAUGGCUGUCACAGUGCAUGCGCGAUAUCAAAGCCGCAAAGCUGCAGCAAACCGUUCGACCGUACUCGAACGGCACGCCCGCCGGUGAAGCACUGCCGGUUCGCACCAUCGUUGCCACCUCCCGCAUCCACCGUGGUGAGCACCUUGGUACUGUGAAAUGCAACAGCAUCAUGACAGGGGAGCGCGCCUCACAGCUGCUGCGGCGAGCCUGUCGCGGAGAGCCGUCACAAACGGACGCGACCGCGGCAACUGGCCUCCAGCCGCUCGCCGCGCAGCGCUUCGAUGAUCUGGUCAGCCGCAUUUCAUCUCUUCCCUCGGCAGUCUCGGUGCCGCCACACCUGCUGCUCUCCCGCGACGCACUGCUGGUGACGGUGGCUCUGUAUCUCACACGCAGCCCGCUGAACGCUGGCGUUUUGCCUGCCGAGAGCCCACUGCGUGCGUGGGCCGAUGCACUGCCGCGCCGACCCCCACCAAUGGGUGCAUUGCUGCGCAGCAGCUUCCUCAGUCACGACAACGUCGAGCCGCUCCCUCGCCGACUGCGGCUUGGGCAGCGCACAAAAGAAGUCGCCCCUGGUGAAGAUGUGGCGGCGGCCUCGACAGAGCUCAUGGUGCAGGCGGUGGAGCAGGGUGAGUUAGAGCUCGCUGACCUGCGCCGACCGGAGAUGGAGACGGCCCUCACGCCAACGGUGCUCACGAAUUAUUUCAAGGGGCGCAUGUCGGCCCUGACGCAGCGGCAGCGCCAGUCACAGCGUGCGCGCGGCGGCGUCGCAGAAGCGGAGGAAGGCGCCCUCCACCUCUUCAUGACGUGGGAGCGGCAGCUGCAGACGCACUUUGUGGACGCCUUGCUGCCAGUGCUGCUGCUCCCGUCUUGUGGGUCGUGCGCGUCCAACUUGGAGGCAGUGCAAGACUCCGCUGCUUGGCUUGGUGAAGAGAGCGCCCUGCGUUGGGCACACUUUAUGACUCGCUCCCGUGCGGUCAACCUGAACUGGCGCCGUCCUGGGCCUCCGCAGCUGUCGAUCGUACCGUUGGUGGACAUGCUGAACCACACAAGCCGCGCGAAUGCCAACGUUGUCUACCAGCGCGAGGACAGCGGCGACGUCUGCGUCACAGCCUCGCGCACAAUCGAGGCAGGCGAGGAGCUGGUACUGCGGUACAACCACAUAGGUCAACGCGGGUGCUUGUUUGGUGACCUGCCCCGACCGUCGAAACCUACCGCCGAGCACGAGCGCGGUCGAUUGUCUGGCAAGGCGGCUGCCGUGGCUGACGAAGUGCACCGCAUUGAGAAGCGCCAGUACUGGGAGCUGUAUGCCUGCGACGAGGAUGAGGAGGCCGCGCAGCAGACGGGCCACACUCCCUCCACAAGCUUCAGAGCUAGCACCCGCUGCGGUACCUUCGACCCUGCGUCGCCAACAGCUGUCGGGCAGCAGGAGAUGGAGCAGGAGGUGCAGUGGCUGUGGCGCUUUGGUUUUCUGCGCAGCAACGAAGAGAAGAACCGCGAGGCGGCACUGCUGUGGAGUCGCAGUCUUCGCAGCCGAAUCGCGCAUCUGACGGAUGUCCGGCGCAAGGGGCGGCCUGGUGAGUUCGUAGUCGGUGUGCCAGAGGGGCUUCAGCAUCUGCGCGAGCAGCGCGAGCAACUGGAGCGAGAUCGGUACAAAAGCAAAAAGGUGUUCCCCCCGCAGCAGCUGUGAGCGUGCGAGCCCGAUGCAGUGCACGGGCGCGGGCCCGUGAUAUGAUGAUGCGCGGCGUUACACGUGCGAGCUCGUCUUCACAGAGGGGCGGUGGCUGCUCUUCUUGGCUUCGCCUGCGGGCGCCACACCCCCUCUCUCUUCACACACUCCCGCUAACAAACAAACGGAAAGACGCCAAAGGUUGAGUGCAUGCACGCGUGAGGGCCUUCCUCUCUUCCUCCAGCUCCGCGUUGAUGUAUUCUCACCCAGGGGGAUGUUUCCUGCGUAAGGGUGCACUCGACAAGCGGGUCUCUUCUGCGCUGCCCGAGCGACGGAGAGCCUUCUUGGCGAGCACAGUGACGUCUGACGGCUUUCAGGCGCGCGUUUUGAUGUCGCCCUCCUUGCGAGCGCGCUCUUGCGUCUUCCAUUCUUCUUCCCUGCCCCCAUCCCUCCUCAG